Molecule: ribosomal RNA, 467 nt
Filed under: uncultured bacterium
Lineage: Bacteria
Description: bacterial SSU rRNA
Rfam family: Bacterial small subunit ribosomal RNA
Source: RNAcentral
GGGCCCGCACAAGCGGUGGAGCAUGUGGUUCAAUUCGACGCAACGCGAAGAACCUUACCUGGGCUCGAAGCGCAGUGGACCGGGGUAGAAAUAUCCCUUCCCCUUAAAAGGCUGCUGCGGAGGUGCUGCAUGGCUGUCGUCAGCUCGUGUCGUGAGAUGUUGGGUUAAGUCCCGCAACGAGCGCAACCCUUAUCCCUAGUUGCCAUCGGGUCAAGCCGGGCACUCUAGUGAAACUGCCUCGGAUAACGAGGAGGAAGGUGGGGAUGACGUCAAGUCCUCAUGGCCUUUAUGUCCAGGGCUACACACGUGCUACAAUGGUCGGUACAAACCGUCGCAAACCCGUGAGGGGGAGCUAAUCGGAAAAAGCCGGCCUCAGUUCGGAUUGGAGUCUGCAACUCGACUCCAUGAAGCUGGAAUCGCUAGUAAUCGCGGAUCAGAACGCCGCGGUGAAUACGUUCCCGGGCCUU